AUACGUAGGGGGCGAGCGUUGUCCGGAAUGACUGGGCGUAAAGGGCGUGUAGGCGGCGCUGUAAGUCUGGAGUGAAAGUCCCGCUUUCAAGGUGGGAACUGCUUUGGAUACUGCAGUGCUCGAGUGCGGAAGAGGUAAGUGGAAUUCCCAGUGUAGCGGUGAAAUGCGUAGAGAUUGGGAGGAACACCAGUGGCGAAGGCGACUUUCUGGUGCGUAGCUGGAGCUGCGACGCGCAAGCGUGGGGAGCGAAAAGGAUUAGAUAACCUGGUAGUCCACGCGGUAAACGAGGAAUGCAAGGUGUAAUAGGUAUCGACCCCUUUGGUGCCGGAGUUAACACAAUAAGCAUUCCGCCUGUGGAGUACGGCCGUAAGGUUGAAACUCAAAUGAAUUGACGGGU
This 397-nucleotide ribosomal RNA is filed under the name uncultured bacterium. RNAcentral's name for it is "partial 16S ribosomal RNA". It matches the Rfam family "Bacterial small subunit ribosomal RNA", at positions 523 to 918 of the family's 1533-position model. The record is from RNAcentral.